This 585-nucleotide ribosomal RNA is filed under the name uncultured Pseudomonas sp. RNAcentral describes it as "bacterial SSU rRNA". It matches the Rfam family "Bacterial small subunit ribosomal RNA", at positions 102 to 683 of the family's 1533-position model. The record is from RNAcentral. Lineage: Bacteria; Pseudomonadati; Pseudomonadota; Gammaproteobacteria; Pseudomonadales; Pseudomonadaceae.
ACGGGUGAGUAAUACCUAGGAAUCUGCCUGAUAGUGGGGGAUAACGUUCGGAAACGGACGCUAAUACCGCAUACGUCCUACGGGAGAAAGCAGGGGACCUUUGGGCCUUGCGCUAUCAGAUGAGCCUAGGUCGGAUUAGCUAGUUGGUGAGGUAAUGGCUCACCAAGGCUACGAUCCGUAACUGGUCUGAGAGGAUGAUCAGUCACACUGGAACUGAGACACGGUCCAGACUCCUACGGGAGGCAGCAGUGGGGAAUAUUGGACAAUGGGCGAAAGCCUGAUCCAGCCAUGCCGCGUGUGUGAAGAAGGUCUUCGGAUUGUAAAGCACUUUAAGUUGGGAGGAAGGGUAUUAACCUAAUACGUUAGUAUUUUGACGUUACCGACAGAAUAAGCACCGGCUAACUCUGUGCCAGCAGCCGCGGUAAUACAGAGGGUGCAAGCGUUAAUCGGAAUUACUGGGCGUAAAGCGCGCGUAGGUGGUUUGUUAAGUUGAAUGUGAAAUCCCCGGGCUCAACCUGGGAACUGCAUCCAAAACUGGCAAGCUAGAGUAUGGUAGAGGGUAGUGGAAUUUCCUGUGUAGCGGUG